This 465-nucleotide ribosomal RNA is filed under the name uncultured bacterium. RNAcentral describes it as "partial 16S ribosomal RNA". It matches the Rfam family "Bacterial small subunit ribosomal RNA", at positions 28 to 507 of the family's 1533-position model. The record is from RNAcentral.
GACGAACGCUGGCGGCGUGCUUAACACAUGCAAGUCGAACGGAAAGGCCCCUUUGGGGGUCCUCGAGUGGCGCACGGGUGCGUAACACGUGAGUAACCUGCCCUUGACUUCGGGAUAACUUCAGGAAACUGGGGCUAAUACCGGAUAGGAAUCCUUGCUGCAUGGUGGGGGUUGGAAAGCUUCGGCGGUUUUGGAUGGACUCGCGGCUUAUCAGCUUGUUGGUGGGGUAGUGGCUUACCAAGGCUUUGACGGGUAGCCGGCCUGAGAGGGCGACCGGCCACAUUGGGACUGAGAUACGGCCCAGACGCCUACGGGAGGCAGCAGUGGGGAAUAUUGCACAAGGGGCGGAAGCCGGAUGCAGCAACGCCGCGGGCGGGAUGACGGCCUUCGGGUUGUAAACCGCUUUCAGCAGGGGCGAAGCUUGUGGUGACGGUACCUGCAGAAGAAGCACCGGCUAACUACGUG